AGAGUUUGAUCAUGGCUCAGAACGAACGCUGGCGGCAUGCCUAACACAUGCAAGUCGAACGGGAUCUUGACUUCGGUCAGGUGAGAGUGGCGGACGGGUGAGUAACACGUGGGAACCUGCCUUUUGGUUCGGGAUAACCGCGGGAAACUGCGGCUAAUACCGGAUACUCCCGAGAGGGGAAAGAUUUAUCGCCAGAAGAGGGGCCCGCGUCCGAUUAGGUAGUUGGUGGGGUAAUGGCCUACCAAGCCGACGAUCGGUAGCUGGUCUGAGAGGAUGAUCAGCCACACUGGGACUGAGAUACGGCCCAGACUCCUACGGGAGGCAGCAGUGGGGAAUAUUGGACAAUGGGGGCAACCCUGAUCCAGCAAUGCCGCGUGAGUGAUGAAGGCCUUAGGGUUGUAAAGCUCUUUUGCCAGGGAAGAUGAUGACUGUACCUGGAGAAUAAGCCCCGGCUAACUUCGUG
Molecule: ribosomal RNA, 463 nt
Filed under: uncultured bacterium
Lineage: Bacteria
Description: bacterial SSU rRNA
Rfam family: Bacterial small subunit ribosomal RNA
Source: RNAcentral